Molecule: ribosomal RNA, 253 nt
Filed under: uncultured bacterium
Lineage: Bacteria
Description: partial 16S ribosomal RNA
Rfam family: Bacterial small subunit ribosomal RNA
Source: RNAcentral
UACGAAGGGUGCAAGCGUUACUCGGAAUUACUGGGCGUGAAGCGUGCGUAGGUGGUUUGUUAAGUCUGAUGUGAAAGCCCUGGGCUCAACCUGGGAAUUGCAUUGGAUACUGGCAGGCUAGAGUGCGGUAGAGGGUAGUGGAAUUCCCGGUGUAGCAGUGAAAUGCGUGGAGAUCAAGAGGAACACUCGUGGCGAAAGCGAGCUACUGGACAAUAUCUGACGCUGAGGCUCGAAGGCCAGGGUAGCGAAAGGG